This 253-nucleotide ribosomal RNA is filed under the name uncultured bacterium. RNAcentral describes it as "partial 16S ribosomal RNA". It matches the Rfam family "Bacterial small subunit ribosomal RNA", at positions 524 to 776 of the family's 1533-position model. The record is from RNAcentral.
UACAUGGGGUGCAAACGUUGCUCGGAAUUAUUGGGCGUAAAGCGCACGUAGGUGGUUUGUUAUGUCGGAUGUGAAAGCCCUCGGCUCAACUGAGGAAGUGCAUCCGAAACUGGCAAGCUAGAGUAUGUAAGAGGGUCGCGGAAUUCCCGGUGUAGAGGUGAAAUUCGUAGAUAUCGGGAGGAACACCGGCGGCGAAGGCGGCGACCUGGGACAAUACUGACACUGAGGUGCGAAAGCGUGGGGAGCAAACAGG